Molecule: ribosomal RNA, 524 nt
Filed under: uncultured bacterium
Lineage: Bacteria
Description: partial 16S ribosomal RNA
Rfam family: Bacterial small subunit ribosomal RNA
Source: RNAcentral
GACGAACGCUGGCGGCGUGCCUAAUACAUGCAAGUCGAGCGCAGGAAGCCGUCUGAACCCUUCGGGGGGACGACGGCGGAAUGAGCGGCGGACGGGUGAGUAACACGUAAAGAACCUGCCCAUAGGUCUGGUAUAACCACGAGAAAUCGGGGCUAAUACCGGAUGUGUCAUCGGACCGCAUGGUGCGCGGAUGAAAGGCCCGCCGCAGUCGCCCAUGGAUGGGUUGGCGGUGCAUUAGCUAGUUGGGGGGGUAACGGCCCACCAAGGCGACGAUGUAUAGCCGACCUGAGAGGGUGAUCGGCCACCCUGGGACUGAGACACGGCCCAGAAUCCUACGGGAGGCAGCAGUAGGGAAUCUUCCACAAUGGACGAAAGUCUGAUGGAGCAACGCCGCGUGAACGAUGAAGGCUUUCGGGUCGUAAAGUUCUGUUGUAAGGGAAGAACAAGUGCCGCAGGCAAUGGCGGCACCUUGACGGUACCUUGCGAGAAAGCCACGGCUAACUACGUGCCAGCCGCCGCAGUAA